RNAcentral lists this transfer RNA (71 nucleotides) under Bos indicus x Bos taurus (hybrid cattle). It matches the Rfam family "tRNA". Rfam says of the family: Transfer RNA (tRNA) molecules are approximately 80 nucleotides in length. Their secondary structure includes four short double-helical elements and three loops (D, anti-codon, and T loops). The record is from Rfam by way of RNAcentral. Lineage: Eukaryota; Metazoa; Chordata; Mammalia; Artiodactyla; Bovidae.
UCCUGGUGGCUCAGAUGAUAAAGAAUCUGUCUGCUAUGCAGGAGACCCAGGUUCAAUCCCUGGGUCAGGAG